RNAcentral lists this ribosomal RNA (253 nucleotides) under uncultured bacterium. RNAcentral describes it as "partial 16S ribosomal RNA". It matches the Rfam family "Bacterial small subunit ribosomal RNA", at positions 524 to 776 of the family's 1533-position model. The record is from RNAcentral.
UACAGAGGUCCCAAGCGUUGUUCGGAUUCACUGGGCGUAAAGGGUGCGUAGGUGGCGGGAUAAGUUUGAUGUGAAAGCUCAGGGCUUAACCCUGAAAUGGCAUUGAAUACUACUCUGCUGGAGGUUUGGAGGGGGGACUGGAAUUCUUGGUGUAGCAGUGAAAUGCGUAGAUAUCAAGAGGAACACCAGUGGCGAAGGCGAGUCCCUGGACAACACCUGACACUGAGGCACGAAAGCUAGGGGAGCAAACAGG